GGAGAAUAGGAAGGUCGACUGACAAAAACUGUGUACUACAGCUGGGAAAAUGUUGGGUAAAGCCUAAAGGAAUACUGGAAAAAGUCAGAUUCUUCAUGUGGGGUUUAGCCUUUGGAAGUAGUAACGUGGGUGGCAGCAGUACUUCAAAGGGCGAACUCCAAAUCUUCAAAUUUCAUCCACUUGCAGCUUUCUUUGUUGUAAAGGGGAAGAAACUCGAGUUCAUACACUUGUUCAGUGCAACUCUACCGAAAAGUCAUGGAUCACGG
Molecule: unclassified non-coding RNA, 266 nt
Filed under: Hevea brasiliensis (rubber tree)
Lineage: Eukaryota; Viridiplantae; Streptophyta; Magnoliopsida; Malpighiales; Euphorbiaceae
Source: RNAcentral